UAACGCGAAGAACCUUACCAAGGCUUGACAUACACCGGAAACGGCCAGAGAUGGUCGCCCCCUUGUGGUCGGUGUACAGGUGGUGCAUGGUUGUCGUCAGCUCGUGUCGUGAGAUGUUGGGUUAAGUCCCGCAACGAGCGCAACCCUCGUUUUAUGUUGCCAGCGCGUUAUGGCGGGGACUCAUAGGAGACUGCCGGGGUCAACUCGGAGGAAGGUGGGGAUGACGUCAAAUCAUCAUGCCCCUUAUGUCUUGGGCUUCACGCAUGCUACAAUGGCCGGUACAAAGGGCUGCGAUACCGUAAGGUGGAGCGAAUCCCAAAAAGCCGGUCUCAGUUCGGAUUGAGGUCUGCAACUCGACCUCAUGAAGUCGGAGUCGCUAGUAAUCGCAGAUCAGCA
RNAcentral lists this ribosomal RNA (396 nucleotides) under uncultured bacterium. RNAcentral describes it as "bacterial SSU rRNA". It matches the Rfam family "Bacterial small subunit ribosomal RNA", at positions 957 to 1354 of the family's 1533-position model. The record is from RNAcentral.